AUUAAUUUAUUAUAUUAUUUUUAUUUUUUGUUAUUUAUUUUAUUUAAUAGAAAUAAUUUUAUUGUUUUUUGUCUUAGUAUUUUUUAUUGAAUUGAUUAUUUGUUAUUAUAGUUUAUUAGUAAUGUAAUUGAAUUAAUAAUUUUUUUAAAAAUUUAAAUAAGUAGAUUUUAUUUUUUGUACCUUUUGUAUCAGGGUUUAUCAAAAUUUUGAUUUUUAUUAAUUAAUCUCGAUUUAGGUUGAUUUACAAGUAAAUUAUAGUUGUUGUUUUAUAAACAUUAUUAAUUUAUUUGUGGAAGUGAAAUGUUAUUCGUUUCCUAAGAUAUUUAGUUUCUUAAGAAAAAAUUUAAUUUUUUAAAAUUAGUGUUUUAAUUUAAUUUUUUAAUUUAGAAUAUUAAUUUAUUUAUGCUUUAAGGGAUAAGCUUUAAAGUCGAAUUCCUAUAAACUUAUAAUUAUUUCGGAAUAUAAUAAUAGGCUUAAGACCAGCUAUUUUUCGAUUACGUUUUAGUUCAUUUUUUCUAUUUUUGAUUUUAUAAUGCUUUUAGGGUUUUUAUUAAGAUAAUUAAUUUAAUUUUAGAAUUUUUGUAAUAAUGAUGUAAUUAGUAUAUUUAUUUUGUUUAUGGUUUUUAUUUGUUAAUUUAUUAUAAGGAACUAGGCAAAAUUAAUUUCCGCCUGUUUAUCAAAAACAUGUCUUCUUGAUAAUAUUUUGAAGUCUGACCUGCUCACUGAAUAAUUUUAAAGAGCCGCGGUAUUUUGACCGUGCAAAGGUAGCAUAAUCAUUAGUUUCUUAAUUAGAGGCUUGAAUGAAUGGUUUGACGAGAAAUUAACUGUCUCUUAAUAAAUUUUAGAAUUUAACUUUUAAGUUAAAAGGCUUAAAUAUUUCUUUAGGACGAGAAGACCCUAUAGAGCUUAAUAUUUAUAAAUAUUAUAUAUUUUUAGUUUAUCUUUUUAUAUAGAUUUUUAAAUAUUUGGUUGGGGUGACAUGAAGAAUAAAUAAACUCUUCAUUAUUAAAUCAUUGAUUUAUGUUUAUUUGAUCCAUAAUUUAUGAUCAAAAGAUUAAGUUACCUUAGGGAUAACAGCGUAAUCAUUUUUAAGAGUUCAUAUCGACAAAAUGGGUUGCGACCUCGAUGUUGGAUUAAGAUUAAUUUUAGGUGUAGUAGCUUAAUAAUUAGGUCUGUUCGACCUUUAAAUUCUUACAUGAUCUGAGUUCAGACCGGCGUGAGCCAGGUCGGUUUCUAUCCUAAGAUAUAAAAUAUUCAUAUUAGUACGAAAGGACCAUAUGAUUGAAAUAAUUUUUGUUUAUUGGUUAAAAUUAAUUAUUU
RNAcentral lists this ribosomal RNA (1320 nucleotides) under Leptopternis gracilis. RNAcentral's name for it is "16S ribosomal RNA". The stretch from base 880 to 1243 matches the Rfam family "Archaeal large subunit ribosomal RNA", at positions 2150 to 2716 of the family's 2987-position model. The record is from RNAcentral. Lineage: Eukaryota; Metazoa; Arthropoda; Insecta; Orthoptera; Acrididae.